This 253-nucleotide ribosomal RNA is filed under the name uncultured bacterium. RNAcentral's name for it is "partial 16S ribosomal RNA". It matches the Rfam family "Bacterial small subunit ribosomal RNA", at positions 524 to 776 of the family's 1533-position model. The record is from RNAcentral.
UACGUAGGUGGCAAGCGUUGUCCGGAUUUACUGGGCGUAAAGAGCGCGCAGGCGGUCGUUCAAGUCGCGUGUGAAAGCCCCCGGCUCAACUGGGGAGGGUCACGCGAUACUGAUCGACUGGAAGGCAGGAGAGGGUAGUGGAAUUCCCGGUGUAGUGGUGAAAUGCGUAGAUAUCUGGAGGAACACCGGUGGCGAAGGCGGCAUCCUGGACCGGCAUUGACGCUGAGGCGCGAAAGCCAGGGGAGCAAACGGG